RNAcentral lists this ribosomal RNA (213 nucleotides) under Triticum aestivum (bread wheat). RNAcentral describes it as "partial small subunit ribosomal RNA". The record is from RNAcentral. Lineage: Eukaryota; Viridiplantae; Streptophyta; Magnoliopsida; Poales; Poaceae.
AUGUGUAUGAGCAAGAAGGAUGGAGGAAUGGGUUUUAGGGGCAUGGAGGCUUUCAAUCAGGCUCUCUUAGCAAAACAAGCAUGGAGGCUGCUGCACUCAUCGACGUCUCUUUGUGCUAGGGUAUUGAAAGCUAGAUAUUACCCGAAUGGAUCCAUUCUCAGCGCUACAUGCCCGACUGGAGGCUCAUAUACAUUCAGAAGCAUUAUACAUGGC